RNAcentral lists this ribosomal RNA (422 nucleotides) under Labrenzia sp. EF1C-B300. RNAcentral describes it as "bacterial SSU rRNA". It matches the Rfam family "Bacterial small subunit ribosomal RNA", at positions 1 to 457 of the family's 1533-position model. The record is from RNAcentral. Lineage: Bacteria; Pseudomonadati; Pseudomonadota; Alphaproteobacteria; Hyphomicrobiales; Stappiaceae.
UAGAGUUUGAUCCUGGCUCAGAACGAACGCUGGCGGCAGGCUUAACACAUGCAAGUCGAACGAUCCCUUCGGGGAUAGUGGCAGACGGGUGAGUAACGCGUGGGAACCUACCUUUAGGUACGGAACAACAGUUGGAAACGACUGCUAAUACCGUAUGUGCCCUAUGGGGGAAAGAUUUAUCGCCUAAGGAUGGGCCCGCGUUGGAUUAGCUAGUUGGUGGGGUAAUGGCCUACCAAGGCGACGAUCCAUAGCUGGUCUGAGAGGAUGAUCAGCCACACUGGGACUGAGACACGGCCCAGACUCCUACGGGAGGCAGCAGUGGGGAAUAUUGGACAAUGGGGGCAACCCUGAUCCAGCCAUGCCGCGUGAGUGAUGAAGGCCCUAGGGUUGUAAAGCUCUUUCAGCGAGGAGGAUAAUGACUA